CCGUCAAUUCCUUUGAGUUUGGGCCGUCAAUUCUCCGUCAAUUCCUUUGAGUUUCAUACUUGCGUACGUACUCCCCAGGCGGAUUACUUAUCGCGUUUGCUUGGGCACUGAGGUUCGACCCCCAACACCUAGUAAUCAUCGUUUACGGCGUGGACUACCAGGGUAUCUAAUCCUGUUUGCUACCCACGCUUUCGCGCUUCAGCGUCAGUAUCUGUCCAGUAAGCUGGCUUCCCCAUCGGCAUUCCUACAAAUAUCUACGAAUUUCACCUCUACACUUGUAGUUCCGCUUACCUCUCCAGUACUCUAGUUACACAGUUUCCAACGCAAUACAGAGUUGAGCCCUGCAUUUUCACAUCAGACUUACAUAACCACCUAGACGCGCUUUACGCCCAAUAAAUCCGGAUAACGCUUGUGACAUACGUAUUACCGCGGCUGCUGGCACGUAUUUAGCCGUCACUUCUUCUGUUGGUACCGUCAUUUUUUUCUUUCCAACUGAAAGCACUUUACAUUCCGAAAAACUUCAUCGUGCACACAGAAUUGCUGGAUCAGACUCUUGGUCCAUUGUCCAAUAUUCCCCACUGCUGCCUCCCGUAGG
RNAcentral lists this ribosomal RNA (595 nucleotides) under uncultured bacterium. RNAcentral's name for it is "partial 16S ribosomal RNA". The record is from RNAcentral.